Long non-coding RNA from Quercus lobata, 813 nucleotides. RefSeq lists it as uncharacterized. The record is from RefSeq and is a predicted model, not a curated record. The transcript has 2 exons. NCBI's taxonomy places the organism in Eukaryota, Viridiplantae, Streptophyta, Magnoliopsida, Fagales, Fagaceae.
GUUAGUCAAGUUCAUCAAAUACUCUGCAUAAUUUGUAAAAUAAAUAAAUGUAUAUCUGCUUAUGCAUGUUUAGUACCCCUCAGUAAGUUAUCUACCAAACAUUUUUUUUUUGGUUAGUCUAUGUUGUACAUCUUUUAAUUUCUGAAUUUAUUGUCAAUUGUUGCUUCGGGGAUUGAUAUGUUAAUUUUGUUACUUAUCUUUUUGAGGCUACUGCUUUUUUCUUUAACGUGGCUUUUCUUUUUCUCAAGAUAUUUUGAUUUGAUUCCCUGUAUCUUACCAAUUAUGACAUACAUUAUGUUUUUAAGUUUUUUCAUUUGCUUUUCUUUUGACAGGAUAAAGUUGGUAAGUUCUGUCUUCUGUGAAACUGGGCAAAGCUAAAAAAACUGUGAUGAAUCAUGUUAAAGCUGUAAGGAAAUUUGGUGAUGUUGUUCUCAAAGAUUUGAAAUUAUAGGCAGAGGCACGAAGUUCACUAAAACUUCUGGUCACUGUGCAAGAAAAUCCAGAUGCCUCUCAAAAGCCAUUCACCUUCAUUUUCUAUCAUUUUGUCUUGGUACCCGCCCAAUUCCCAAGCCUCUCCUUUGUUGUGUUUAUUAUCUUUCUUAAUUUGAUGCGUACUUGCAUCUUUGUAAGUUUUUUUUUUUUUUUUUUUUUUACUUUUAAUUAUAUAAAUUAAGAUUUGUAUCAUAGGGCCGUAUCUGAGACAUAUGUAGCCGUAUCAUACAAAUUUUUAAAAGGCAUUUGUAAAGCAAACAUAGUUGGGAUAUACCCAACGUGCAGUAUUGUAUUGGAAAGGGAAGUGGUAUUAUAUUUGAA